AAAAAGCAUUUAAUGUUUCACAGCGUAAAUGCAAACACACAAAAACACAGAAAACAAAUAAUAAUCUCGUGCAAAGCGUUUUGUCACAUGGAUAUGCAGCAUUACUUCCAAAACUCAACAUUGGGUGAGCGGAUCAUCAUGAAUAACGAGGAAAAGCACUUCCUCUGAAUACUUAGAAAUCGCAGGACACUGUAUCGUGAACACAAGUAAUCAACGGAUACAUCGGACGAUAUUUCGAUAUUCUAGGCCUCUGUCAAAAACUGUGCCUCUCUGAGCUUCUCAUUCUUUCCCACUUUUUCUUCCCAAUUUGGAAUGUCCAAUUCCCAAAGCGCUCCAAGUCCACGUGGUGGCGUAGUGACUCGCCUUAAUCCGGGUGGCGGAGGACGAAUCUCAGUUGCCUCCGCGUUUGAGACCGCCAAUCCGCGCAUCUUAUCACGUGACUUGUUGAGCGCAUUACCGUGGAGACGUAGCGCGUGUGGAGGCUUCACGCUAUUCUCUGCGGCAUCCACGCACAACUCACCGCACUCUCCACCAAGAGCGAGAACCACAUUAUAGCGACCACGAGGAGGUUACCCCAUGUGACUCUACCCUCCCUAGCAACAGGGCCAAUUUGGUUGCUAUAGGAGACCUGGCUGGAGUCAUUCGAACUCACGACUCCAGGCGUGCUAGUCAGCAUCAAUACUUGCUGAGAUACACAAUAUUUACUGAAAGGUCUGGGUAAGCCAUUUUCAUCUCAGCGUCUUUAUCACCGGCGGGAAUUAAAUCGCUUUAGCCUGCAUCACAUAUAGUGUCCACAAAAAGAAUACGCUUAAGGCACACUUUAACAUAUCUGAGCGUCAUUGCAAUCGAUAACCAAAAUUUAAAAAAAAUAAAUAAAAAUGAAAGUGUCAUUUAUUUUAAGGAACUAUAGCACGAACAACCUUUACAAGCCAAACAUUUCACAUUUGUUACAUUUUGAAAUGAUAAAACAAGAGAUACAGUGUUGAAAAUGAAGAUAAAAGUACAGUAUUGUGUCACUUUGUGUUCGUCAAGCGUUGCAACAUGUUGAUAGUUAAUGAGCUACACUUGUACUGACUUUACAAUGACAUUCAAUGUGAUUUAAAUGUCCACAUAAUUAGUGAAAAAACACACGUCAUCGAUCACUAAUGAACAACACACAAAAUCAAAGCAAGAAAUCUGAACAGGCGUGUUAUAUAAAACGGCAUGCAUGCAGGCACACAUUAUUCUGUAUUAAACGGACACAGCUUUGACAAAAAAGGCUUCUGGUUUAACGGUGUGCUUAGACCAGGAACAUUUCAAACAUACUUCAGACGUGAUAUCUAUAAAACACUUUUCUCACAACACGCCAUAUAGAUGAUAUUUGAACAUGCAGAACUGAUCGCCUCUCCGUCAGUUCAGUAAAAGUGACAGCAGCUGUUGAAUAAUAACCGGAGGCAUGAACUAGAAAUACAAAUAUCACAUAUUAAAACAUCCCGUUUCAAGUACAAUAUGAGUGGAGCCACUAUCAAAGUCUAAAAAGUGCUAAAAAUCACAUGCUUCUGAUAUCCACAUUCAUUCUGCAUCGAUAUUUCCAAAGCAGCUCAACCUGGUAACAUUCAACUAAAGUCAUGAACACUGGAUUAAAUGCACAGGAACAAAUCGGCCUUUCCGUAGAAACAUGUUAAACACGGAGCCCCUUUAGAGGAAAUGAAGGGAAUUUAUUUUCUGAAACAACAGUAUUACCCAUCCCUUAAAAAAUGGACCAUGGUUUUAAGAGAUUAAUAAUAUUUUUUAUCACGUAUAAAAUUCAUUAUAUAACCAUAGUGAUAACAGGUAAACCCAAACUGUGGUAAUAAAAAUCAAUCGUUCACGACCCACACAACCAAGGUUACUAGUUUUACUAUAGUAACAUCAUGGUUAAUUUGUGGUACAUGUAUCAUGGUUCUUACAAAAGAAUGGUUACUAUAUGAUUUACUAUAGUGAAACCAUGGCAAACUUUCAUAAAGACAUGUUUCUUCCUUCUUUUACUAGAAACAUACUUCUAACAAACUAAUCGUGUUGUUACUAUAGUAACCACGGUUUUAAACGAAUGAUUAUACUAGUUCUGCCCCCCCCGCCCCCAGUAUUAUUAGUAUGGUUUUACGACGAACAUGGCGGUGAAAUUCAGUUACUAUAGUAACAUUUUACUACGUUUUACGACGAACAUGGCGGUGAAAUUCAGUUACUAUAGUAACAUUUUACUACGUUUUACGACGAACAUGGCGGUGAAAUUCAGUUACUAUAGUAACAUUUUACUAGGUUUUACGGCGAACAUGGCGGUGAAAUGCAGUUACUAUAGUAACAUUUUACUAGGUUUUACGGCGAACAUGGCGGUGAAAUUCAGUUACUAUAGUAACAUUUUACUAGGUUUUACGGCGAACAUGGCGGUGAAAUUCAGUUACUAUAGUAACAUUUUACUAGGUUUUACGGCGAACAUGGCGGUGAAAUUCAGUUACUAUAGUAACAUUUUACUAGGUUUUACGGCGAACAUGGCGGUGAAAUUCAGUUACUAUAGUAACAUUUUACUAGGUUUUACGGCGAACAUGGCGGUGAAAUUCAGUUACUAUAGUAACAUUUUACUAUGGUUUUACGACGAACAUGGCGGUGAAAUGCAGUUACUAUAGUAACAUUUUACUAUGGUUUUACGACGAACAUGGCGGUGAAAUGCAGUUACUAUAGUAACAUUUUACUAUGGUUUUACGACGAACAUGGCGGUGAAAUGCAGUUACUAUAGUAACAUUUUACUAUGGUUUUACGACGAACAUGGCGGUGAAAUUCAGUUACUAUAGUAACAUUUUACUAGGUUUUACGAUCGAACAUGGCGGUGAAAUUCAGUUACUAUAGUAACAGUUUACUAUGGUUUUACGACGAACAUGGCGGUGAAAUUCAGUUACUAUAGUAAAAUUUUACUAGGUUUUACGACGAACAUGGCGGUGAAAUUCAGUUACUAUAGUAACAUUUUACUAUGGUUUUACGACGAACAUGGCGGUGAAAUUCAGUUACUACAGUAACAGUUUACUAUGGUUUUACGACGAACAUGGCGGUGAAAUUCAGUUGCUACAGUAACAUUUUACUAUGGUUUUACGACGAACAUGGCGGUGAAAUUCAGUUACUACAGUAACAUUUCACUAUGGUUUUACGACGAACAUGGCGGUGAAAUUCAGUUACUACAGUAACAUUUUACUAUGGUUUUACGACGAACAUGGCGGUGAAAUUCAGUUACUACAGUAACAUUUUACUAUGGUUUUACGACGAACAUGGCGGUGAAAUGCAGUUACUACAGUAACAUUUUACUAUGGUUUUACGACGAACAUGGCGGUGAAAUUAAGUUACUAUGGUAACAUUUUACUAUGGUUUUACGACGAACAUGGCGGUGAAAUGCAGUUACUAUGGUAACAUUUUACUAUGGUUUUACGACGAACAUGGCGGUGAAAUUAAGUUACUAUGGUAACAUUUUACUAUGGUUUUACGAUGAAAAUGGCGGUGAAAUUCAG
This is a long non-coding RNA of Xyrauchen texanus (razorback sucker), 3512 nucleotides long. RefSeq lists it as uncharacterized. The transcript has 3 exons. NCBI's taxonomy places the organism in Eukaryota, Metazoa, Chordata, Actinopteri, Cypriniformes, Catostomidae. The record is from RefSeq and is a predicted model, not a curated record.